Molecule: ribosomal RNA, 497 nt
Filed under: uncultured bacterium
Lineage: Bacteria
Description: partial 16S ribosomal RNA
Rfam family: Bacterial small subunit ribosomal RNA
Source: RNAcentral
GAUGAACGCUGGCGGCGUGCCUAAUACAUGCAAGUCGAGCGGACGGACGAGCAGCUUGCUUCUCUGAUGUUGGCGGCGGACGGGUGAGUAACCCGUGGAUAACCUACCUCUGAGACUGGGAUACCUUCGGGAAACCGUAGCUAAUACCGGCUCAUAUGUUGAACCGCAUGGUUCAAAAGUGCUAGACGGUCUUGCGCUCCCUUAUAGGUGGCACCGCGGUGCAUUAGCUAGUUCGUAAGGUAACGGCUUACCAAGGCAACGAUGCAUAGCCGACCUGAGAGGGUGAUCGGCCACACUGGAACUGAGACACGGGCCAGACUCCUACGGGAGGCAGCAGUAGGGAAUCUUCCGCAAUGGGCGAAAGCCUGACGCAGCAACGCCGCGUGAGUGAUGAAGGUCUUCGGAUCGUAAAACUCUGUUAGUAGGGAAGAACAUAUGUGUAAGUAACUGUGCACAUCUUGACGGUACCUAAUCAGAAAGCCACGGCUAACUACGUG